RNAcentral lists this transfer RNA (65 nucleotides) under Dipodomys ordii (Ord's kangaroo rat). It matches the Rfam family "tRNA". From Rfam's summary of the family: Transfer RNA (tRNA) molecules are approximately 80 nucleotides in length. The record is from Rfam by way of RNAcentral. Lineage: Eukaryota; Metazoa; Chordata; Mammalia; Rodentia; Heteromyidae.
GGUGGCUCAGUGGUAGAGUGCUUGCCUUGCAAGCAUGAGGACCUGGGUUCGAUUCUUCAGCACCA